UACGGAAGGCAGCAGUGGGGAAUAUUGCACAAUGGGCGAAAGCCUGAUGCAGCUAUGCCGCGUGUAUGAAGAAGGCCUUAGGGUUGUAAAGUACUUUCAUCGGGGAGGAAAAAACAAAACUAAUAAUUUUAUUUCUUGACGUUACCCGAAAAAGAAGCACCGGCUAACUCCGCGCCAGCAGCCGCGGUAAUACGGAGGGUGCUAGCGUUAAUCAGAAUUACUGGGCGUAAAGAGCACGUAGGUGGUUUUUUUAAGUCAGAUGUGAAAUCCCUGGGCUUAACCUGGAACUGCAUUUUGAAACUGAAAUACUAGAGUAUCGUAGAGGGAGGUAGAAUUCUAGGUGUAGCGGUGAAAUGCGUAGAUAUCUGGAGGAAUACCUGUGGCGAAAGCGGCCUCCUAAACGAAUACUGACACUGAGGUGCGAAAGCGUGGGGAGCAAACAGGGAUUAGAUACCCGU
This 458-nucleotide ribosomal RNA is filed under the name uncultured bacterium. Its description in RNAcentral is "bacterial SSU rRNA". It matches the Rfam family "Bacterial small subunit ribosomal RNA", at positions 340 to 789 of the family's 1533-position model. The record is from RNAcentral.